Molecule: ribosomal RNA, 500 nt
Filed under: uncultured bacterium
Lineage: Bacteria
Description: partial 16S ribosomal RNA
Rfam family: Bacterial small subunit ribosomal RNA
Source: RNAcentral
AUUGAACGCUGGCGGCAUACCUUACACAUGCAAGUCGAACGGUAACGGGUCCUUCGGGAUGCCGACGAGUGGCGAACGGGUGAGUAAUAUAUCGGAACGUGCCCAGUAGUGGGGGAUAACUGCUCGAAAGAGCAGCUAAUACCGCAUACGACCUGAGGGUGAACGGGGGGGAUCGCAAGACCUCUCGCUAUUGGAGCGGCCGAUAUCAGAUUAGCUAGUUGGUGGGGUAAAGGCCUACCAAGGCAACGAUCUGUAGUUGGUCUGAGAGGACGACCAGCCACACUGGGACUGAGACACGGCCCAGACUCCUACGGGAGGCAGCAGUGGGGAAUUUUGGACAAUGGGCGCAAGCCUGAUCCAGCAAUGCCGCGUGCAGGAAGAAGGCCUUCGGGUUGUAAACUGCUUUUGUCAGGGAAGAAAUCUUCUGGGCUAAUACCCCGGGAGGAUGACGGUACCUGAAGAAUAAGCACCGGCUAACUACGUGCCAGCCGCCGCAGUAA